AGUGCAUGCAGCAUACAAAUUUGAAGGCCACAGGGGAGACAUUGUCACAAGGAAAUGGUGUUGGCGAAAUGAUACUUGCUAACAUACCAAGGUACAGGGAUGUUCUGCCUGGAUUGGACGGCUGGCUGGCUAGCAAAGUUGCAACUUGGCAGAACCUGGAAGGGCACUCUGUGCAGUGGUUUUGUGUUGUCAGCAUAGAUCGAAAAGGCAUGAUGGCGGAUAUUACUUCAGCAUUGGCAGCUGUAGGCGUCACCAUAUGUUCUUGUGCGGCUGAGACGGAUAGAGAAAAGGGGAUUGGUGUCGCGCUAUUUCAUAUUGAAGCCGACCUAGAGAGCUUGGUUGGUGCAAGUUUGAAGAUUGACAUGAUCCUAGGUGUUUUGGGAUGGUCCACGGGCUGCAGUUGGUCAGAGAACAAACAGUUUCUAGAAUGCUAAUCUGGUGGCCUGGUGAAGAUCGAGUACUUGCCCAGCUGUUGAAAGCUUGGGGAAGAAAGUUUUGUUCAGUGAAGCCUGACUUCUUCUUUUCUUCUCGUUGUCAAUUUUUUUUCUCCUCCCACCUUCUUGACAAGUAUAGAAGCAAACAACAUUAGGUUAUAUGGUGUCGGGCGACUGUAUAUAUAAAGGAAGAGUAGCAACCAGUUAUACUUGUAAAGGAAUUUUCAACUAUACGAACUCCAACAAAAGUAUGUUACAG
Molecule: unclassified non-coding RNA, 693 nt
Filed under: Hevea brasiliensis (rubber tree)
Lineage: Eukaryota; Viridiplantae; Streptophyta; Magnoliopsida; Malpighiales; Euphorbiaceae
Source: RNAcentral